GCGAGCCCAGAGAGCCCAGCACACGCGGCCGGGCGGGCGGGACUGCUGCCGGGGGCAGCCGGGACGCGCCUCUCCAUCCCGAAGCUUCCUGAAUACCAAGACCUGAUGUGUCCAAGAGGCCGUUUCUAGUAGAAACCUGAAGAACAUCUCUAAGAAAGAAUAAUCCAAUGAAUUGAGAACAAGAAGGUUUCUAAUCAGUCCCUGCUAUGUGGAUAUUUGUUAGCAAUGACUGAUGUGGAAACUACGUAUGCAGAUUUUAUUGCCUCAGGAAGAACAGGUAGAAGAAAUGCAAUACAUGAUAUCUUGGUUUCCUCUGCAAGUGGCAACAGCAAUGAAUUAGCCUUGAAAUUAGCAGGUCUUGAUAUUAACAAGACAGAAGGUGAAGAUGAUGGACAGAGAAGCUCCACAGAACAAAGUGGCGA
RNAcentral lists this long non-coding RNA (422 nucleotides) under Rattus norvegicus (Norway rat). Its description in RNAcentral is "long non-coding RNA NONRATT016244". The record is from RNAcentral. Lineage: Eukaryota; Metazoa; Chordata; Mammalia; Rodentia; Muridae.